RNAcentral lists this transfer RNA (94 nucleotides) under Dufourea novaeangliae. It matches the Rfam family "tRNA". Rfam says of the family: Transfer RNA (tRNA) molecules are approximately 80 nucleotides in length. Lineage: Eukaryota; Metazoa; Arthropoda; Insecta; Hymenoptera; Halictidae. The record is from Rfam by way of RNAcentral.
UCCCCAGUGGCGCAAUCGGUUAGCGCACGGUACUUAUAAGACAGUAUAGUUGUGAGCAAUGCCGGGGUUGUGAGUUCGAGCCUCACCUGGGGAA